UCGACCCCGGGUCAGGCGGGGCUACCCGCUGAGUUUAAGCAUAUCAAUAAGCGGAGAAAAAGAAACUUAUAAGGAUUCCUCUAGUAACAGCGAGCAAACCGGGAACAGCCUAGCUUGAAAAUCGUGCGGAAUCGUAGCUCGACUUAUAGUUUGGAGAAGCGUCCUCAGCGGCAGACCGGGCCCAAGUCCCCUGGAAGGGGGCACCGGAGAGGCUGAGAGCCCCGUCGUGCCCGGACCCUGUCACGCCACAAGGCACUAUUGGUGAGCCGGGUUGUUUGGGAAUGCAACCCUAAUUGGGUAGUAAAUUCCGUCCAAGUCUAAAUGCGGGUGGGAGACCGAUAGCAAACAAGUACUGCGAGGGAAAGAUGAAAAGGACUUUGAAAAGAGAGUCAAAGAGGGCUUGAAAUUAUCAGGAGGAAAGUAGAUCGGGGUCGAUGAUGCACCCCGGUCAGAUGUGGAAUGACGACAACCGGUCUGUCGAUCAGCUCAGGGCAUGGAUAGGUGCGGAUUAGGGCGGAAAUCAAAGUCCGGGCAAUCGUAAAGCCCACAAAGACACCUUCACCUCGAUCGUGGCAAGCAGCGCACGCCCGUAAGGGUGUGCUUUGGCAUCUGCAUGCUCCUGGCACCAGCCAGCGGGCUCCCCGUUCGACCCGUCUUGAAACACGAACCAAGAUGUCUGACAUGUGUGCGAGUCAACUGGCGAGUAAACCCAUAAGGCGUAAGGAAGCUGAUUGGUGGGAUCCCCUAGUGGGUUGCACCGCCAAUCGACCUUGAUCUUCUGAGAAGGGUUCGAGUGCGAGCAUGCCUGUCGGGACCCGAAAGAUGGUGAACUAUGCCUGAGCGGGGCGAAGCCAGAGGAAACUCUGGUGGAGGCCGCAGUGAUACUGAUGUGCAAAUCGUUCGUCUGACUUGGGUAUGGGGGUAAAAGACUAAUCGAAUCGUCUAGUAGUUGGUUCCCUCUGAAGUUUCCCUCAGGAUAGCUGGAGCCUGGGUGGAGUUCUAUCAGGUAAAGCCAAUGAUUAGAGGCAUCAGGGCCGCAAUGCCCUCGACCUAUUCUCAAACUUUAAAUAGGUAGAAUGGCACGACUGCUCUGAUGAGUUAUGCCACGAAAUCGAGAGCUCCAAGUGGGCCAUUUUUGGUAAGUAGAACUGGCAAUGCGGGAUGAACCAAAAGUUGGAUUACAGUGCCCAAUUGCGCGCUAACCAAGAACCCACAAAAGGUGUUGGUCGUUUAAGACAACAGGACGGUAUGGAAGUCAAAAUCCGCCAAGGAGUGUGUAACAACCCACCUGCCGAAUCAACUAGCCUUGAAAAUGGAUGGCACUGAAGCACGCGACCUAUACCCAGUCGUCAAGGCAAGUGCCGGGCCCGAUGAGUAGAAGGGCAUAGCCGUCACUGCAAAACCUUGGGCACGAGCCCAGGCGGAGCGGCUGUUGGUGCGGAUCUUGGUGGUAGUAGCAAACAUUCGAAUGAGAACUUUGAAGGCCGAAGAUGGGAGAGGUUCCAUGUGAACGACACUUGCACAUGGGUUAGUCGAUCCUAAGAGUUGGGGAAAGCACGACAGAGAGUGCGUCCAGCGCGAGCGUCGAAAGGGAAUCGGGUUAAAAUUCUUGACCCGGGACGUGGCAGCUAACGGUAAUGUUAGGGAGUCCGGAGGCAUCGACGGGGGCCGUGGGAAGAGUUAUCUUUUCUGUUUAAUAGUUUGCCCACCCUGGAAACGGCUCGGCCGGAGGUAGGGUCCCGCGGCUGGAAGAGCACCGCACGUCGCAUGAUGUCCGGUGCACCCCCGACAGCUCUUGAACAUCCAGAGGAUCGAGUGCCUCCCAUGCCCAGUCAUACUCAUAACCGCAUCAGGUCUGUAAGGUGAACAGCCUGUGGCCGAUAGAACAAUGUAGGCAAGGGAAGUCGGUAAAAUGGAUCUGUAACUUCGUGAAAAGAAUUGGUUUUAAGGGCUAGGCACGGUGGUCUUAGCCCUGAACCCAUCGGCUGCCGGUGGACUAGUCGAGCUGGUCCCGCAGCGGGAGCGGGUUGCUAUGUGCCGGUCGGGAGAAGGACUGGGAAUGGCUCCUCCCGAGGCCUUCCCCGGGCGUCGAACAGUCGACUCAGAACUGGUAUGGAUAAGGGGAAUCCGACUAUUUAAUUAAAACAAAGCAUUGUGAUGGUCCACGCGGAUGCUCACGCAAUGUGAUUUCUGCCCACUGCUCUGAAUGUCAAAGUGAAGAAAUUCAAUCAAGCGCGGGAAAACGGCGGGAGUAACUAUGACUCUCUUAAGGUAGCCAAAUGCCUCGUCAUCUAAUUAGUGACGCACACGAAUGGAUUAACGAGAUUCCCACUAUCCCUGUCUACUAUCCAGUGAAACCACAGCCAAGGGAACGGGCUUGGUAGAAUCAGCGGGGGAAAAAAGACCUGUUGAGCUUGACUCUAGUCUGACUUUGUGAAAUCACUUGAAAGGCAUAGGAUAAGUGGGAGCCGGAGACGAAAAAAGUGAAAUACCACUACUUUUAACGUUAUUUUACUUAUUCCGUGAGUCGGAGGCAGGGCAUUGCCCCUCUUUUUGGACCCAAGGCUCACCUCGACGGGCCUAUCCGGGCGAAAGACAUUGUCAGGUAGGGAGUUUGGCUGGGGCGGCACAUCUGUUAAAAGAUAACGUAGGUGUCCUAAGAUGGGCUCAACGAGAAUAGAAAUCUCGUGUGGAACAGAAGGGUAAAAGCUCGUUUGAUUCUGAUUUCCAGUACGAAUACAAACCGUGAAAACAUGGCCUAACGAUCCUUUAGACCUUCCAAAUUUGAAGCUAGAGGCGUCAGAAAAGUUACGACAGGGAUAACUGGCUUGUGGCGGCCAAGCGUUCAUAGCGACGUUGCUUUUUGAUCCUUCGAUGUCAGCUCUUCCUAUCAUUGUGAAGCAGAAUUCACCAAUUGUGAAGCAGAAUUCACCAAGUGUUGGAUUGUUCACCACCAAUAGGGAACGUGAGCUGGGUUUAAACCGUCGUGAGACAGAUUAGUUUUACCCUACUGAUGACAGUGUCGCAAUAGUAAUUCAACCUAGUACGAGAGGAACCGUUGAUUCGCACAAUUGGUCAUCGCGCUUGGUUGAAAAGUUAGUGGCGCGAAGCUACCGUGCGCGGGAUUAUGACUGAACGCCUCUAAGUUAGAAACCAGGCUAGAAGCGAUGCAUGCGCCUGUCGUUUGUUUACCGACCAGCAGUAGGUGCCAUUCGGCCCCCAAAGGCACGUGUCAUUGGCAAAACUCGCGCGGCGAUCGAGCCGCGCGGGCCACCUUGAAGUUCAAUUCCUAUCGAGCGGCGAGUAGAAUCCUUUGCAGAUGACUUAGAUAUGCGAUAGGGUAUUGUAAGUGGCAGAGUGGCCUUGUUGCCACGAGCCACUGAGAUUCAGCC
The sequence is a ribosomal RNA, 3392 nucleotides long. It matches the Rfam family "Eukaryotic large subunit ribosomal RNA".